GACGAAUGUUGGAUGGUAGAGAAAUUAUGGUUCAGUUCGCUAAGUAUGGUCCCAAUGCUGAGAAAAUUCGGAAGGGGAGAGUAAUGGAGUCAUCAUCUAAGACAAGGGGAAGGUCGAGGAGCCGCAGUCCACGUUCAAGGCACCGUGAUGACCAUAGGGAUAGGGAUUACAGGAGAAGAAGUCGCAGUAGAAGCCGGGAUAGAUAUGAUCGUGAUAGACCCCACAGAAGUGAGAGAGACCGCUAUCGUAGUAGGAGUCGUAGUGCUAGUCCUGACCGUAGUAAAGAUCGUAGGAGGGGAAGAGAUGAUGAUGAACGUCGUAGUGCUAGCCAUUCCGAUAGAAGUAUGUCGCCCGCCCGACAUUCCCCUGAUACUCGGAGGAGCAUAUCUCCACGUAGGACACCACCAUCUAGGGGUAGAAGCGACGAUGAACUUUCUCCAAAGCGA
Molecule: unclassified non-coding RNA, 446 nt
Filed under: Hevea brasiliensis (rubber tree)
Lineage: Eukaryota; Viridiplantae; Streptophyta; Magnoliopsida; Malpighiales; Euphorbiaceae
Source: RNAcentral